Molecule: ribosomal RNA, 273 nt
Filed under: uncultured bacterium
Lineage: Bacteria
Description: partial 16S ribosomal RNA
Rfam family: Bacterial small subunit ribosomal RNA
Source: RNAcentral
CGGGAGGCAGCAGUGGGGAAUCUUCCGCAAUGGACGAAAGUCUGACGGAGCAACGCCGCGUGAGUGAUGAAGGAUUUCGGUCUGUAAAGCUCUGUUGUUUAUGACGAAGUGCAGUGUGUGAACAAUGCAUUGCAAUGACGGUAGUAAACGAGGAAGCCACGGCUAACUACGUGCCAGCAGCCGCGGUAAUACGUAGGUGGCGAGCGUUGUCCGGAAUUAUUGGGCGUAAAGAGCAUGUAGGCGGCUUAAUAAGUCGAGCGUGAAAAUGCGGGG